This 460-nucleotide ribosomal RNA is filed under the name uncultured bacterium. RNAcentral describes it as "partial 16S ribosomal RNA". It matches the Rfam family "Bacterial small subunit ribosomal RNA", at positions 338 to 795 of the family's 1533-position model. The record is from RNAcentral.
CCUACGGGCGGCAGCAGUGAGGAAUAUUGGUCAAUGGGCGCGAGUCUGAACCAGCCAUGUCGCGUGAAGGAUGACUGCCCUAUGGGUUGUAAACUUCUUUUAUACGGGAAUAAAGUUCGUUACGCGUGCCUUUUUGUAUGUACUUUAUGAAUAAGGAUCGGCUAACUCCGUGCCAGCAGCCGCGGUAAUACGGAGGAUUCGAGCGUUAUCCGGAUUUAUUGGGUUUAAAGGGAGCGUAGGUGGGUUGUUAAGUUAGUGGUGAAAGUUUGGGGCUCAACCGUGAAAUUGCAAUUGAUACUGGCAGUCUUGAGUGCAGUUGAGGUAGGCGGAAGGCGUGGUGUAGCGGUGAAAUGCUUAGAUAUCACGAAGAACUCCGAUUGCGAAGGCAGCUUGCUAAACUGCCACUGACAUUGAUGCUCGAAAGUGUGGGUAGCAAACAGGAUUAGAUACCCUUGUAGUC